This 80-nucleotide transfer RNA is filed under the name Cotesia glomerata. RNAcentral's name for it is "tRNA-Thr". The record is from RNAcentral. Lineage: Eukaryota; Metazoa; Arthropoda; Insecta; Hymenoptera; Braconidae.
GUUCAGAUUCAGGUAACAAGAUAUUGGUAGAGCCUUUGGCGCGUAACCAAACGAUCCGGGUUCGAGUCCCGGUCUGGGCU